RNAcentral lists this ribosomal RNA (278 nucleotides) under uncultured bacterium. RNAcentral describes it as "partial 16S ribosomal RNA". It matches the Rfam family "Bacterial small subunit ribosomal RNA", at positions 506 to 784 of the family's 1533-position model. The record is from RNAcentral.
UGCCAGCCGCCGCGGUAAUACGGAGGGUGCAAGCGUUGUUCGGAAUUAUUGGGCGUAAAGCGCGUGUAGGCGGUUCGUUAAGUCUGAUGUGAAAGCCCGGGGCUCAACCCCGGAAGUGCAUUGGAAACUGGCGAACUUGAGUACGGGAGAGGAAAGUGGAAUUCCGAGUGUAGGGGUAAAAUCCGUUGAUAUUAGGAGGAACGCUAAAAGCGAAGGCAGUAUACUGGACUUACCUGACGCUGAGAGACGAAAGCGUGGGGAGCAAACAGGAUUAGAUA